AUUGAACGCUGGCGGCAGGCCUAACACAUGCAAGUCGAGCGGAUGAAGGGAGCUUGCUCCUGGAUUCAGCGGCGGACGGGUGAGUAAUUCCUAGGAAUCUGCCUGGUCGUGGGGGAUAACGUCCGGACACGGGCGCUAAUCCCGCAUCCGUCCUGAUGUGGAACGUGGUGGUUCUUCGGACCUCACUCUUUCUGCUAACCCUAGGUCGGAUUAGCUAGUUGGUGGGGUAAAGGCCUACCAAGGCGACGAUCCGUAACUGGUCUGAGAGGAUGAUCAGUCACACUGGAACUGAGACACGGUCCAGACUCCUACGGGAGGCAGCAGUGGGGAAUAUUGGACAAUGGGCGAAAGCCUGAUCCAGCAAUGCCGCGUGUGUGAAGAAGGUCUUCGGAUUGUAAAGCACUUUAAGUUGGGAGGAAGGGCAGUAAGUUAAUACCUUGCUGUUUUGACGUUACCAACAGAAUAAGCACCGGCUAACUUCGUG
Molecule: ribosomal RNA, 484 nt
Filed under: uncultured bacterium
Lineage: Bacteria
Description: partial 16S ribosomal RNA
Rfam family: Bacterial small subunit ribosomal RNA
Source: RNAcentral